RNAcentral lists this ribosomal RNA (394 nucleotides) under Amazophrynella teko. RNAcentral describes it as "partial small subunit ribosomal RNA". The record is from RNAcentral. Lineage: Eukaryota; Metazoa; Chordata; Amphibia; Anura; Bufonidae.
AAAAUCAAUUAUUACUUAACUUAUACAUGCAAGUUUCCGCCCCCCUGUGAAAACGCCCUUUAACCCCCACCCACGGGACGAGGAGCUGGUAUCAGGCACGAAAAUCUGCCCAUAACACCUAGCUUUGCCACACCCACAAGGGACUUCAGCAGUGAUUAACAUUGAUUAUGAGCGAAAGCUCGAUUCAGUCAAAGUAAAUAGAGCCGGCUAAUCUGGUGCCAGCCGCCGCGGUUACACCACGUGACUCAAAUUGAUUUUUAUCGGCGUAAAGCGUGAUUAAAGUAACUUAUAAUUAAGAUUAAACUAAAACUAAGCCGUGACACGCUUGUUAACUAAGAAACUCAAGAACGAAAGUCAUCUCAAUUAAAUCACUUGAAUUCACGACAGCUGAGAA